This 999-nucleotide ribosomal RNA is filed under the name Microbacterium oxydans. RNAcentral's name for it is "bacterial SSU rRNA". It matches the Rfam family "Bacterial small subunit ribosomal RNA", at positions 60 to 1071 of the family's 1533-position model. Lineage: Bacteria; Bacillati; Actinomycetota; Actinomycetes; Micrococcales; Microbacteriaceae. The record is from RNAcentral.
AGUCGAACGGUGAAGCCCAGCUUGCUGGGUGGAUCAGUGGCGAACGGGUGAGUAACACGUGAGCAACCUGCCCCUGACUCUGGGAUAAGCGCUGGAAACGGCGUCUAAUACUGGAUAUGUGACGUGACCGCAUGGUCUGCGUCUGGAAAGAUUUUUCGGUUGGGGAUGGGCUCGCGGCCUAUCAGCUUGUUGGUGAGGUAAUGGCUCACCAAGGCGUCGACGGGUAGCCGGCCUGAGAGGGUGACCGGCCACACUGGGACUGAGACACGGCCCAGACUCCUACGGGAGGCAGCAGUGGGGAAUAUUGCACAAUGGGCGCAAGCCUGAUGCAGCAACGCCGCGUGAGGGAUGACGGCCUUCGGGUUGUAAACCUCUUUUAGCAGGGAAGAAGCGAAAGUGACGGUACCUGCAGAAAAAGCGCCGGCUAACUACGUGCCAGCAGCCGCGGUAAUACGUAGGGCGCAAGCGUUAUCCGGAAUUAUUGGGCGUAAAGAGCUCGUAGGCGGUUUGUCGCGUCUGCUGUGAAAUCCGGAGGCUCAACCUCCGGCCUGCAGUGGGUACGGGCAGACUAGAGUGCGGUAGGGGAGAUUGGAAUUCCUGGUGUAGCGGUGGAAUGCGCAGAUAUCAGGAGGAACACCGAUGGCGAAGGCAGAUCUCUGGGCCGUAACUGACGCUGAGGAGCGAAAGGGUGGGGAGCAAACAGGCUUAGAUACCCUGGUAGUCCACCCCGUAAACGUUGGGAACUAGUUGUGGGGUCCAUUCCACGGAUUCCGUGACGCAGCUAACGCAUUAAGUUCCCCGCCUGGGGAGUACGGCCGCAAGGCUAAAACUCAAAGGAAUUGACGGGGACCCGCACAAGCGGCGGAGCAUGCGGAUUAAUUCGAUGCAACGCGAAGAACCUUACCAAGGCUUGACAUAUACGAGAACGGGCCAGAAAUGGUCAACUCUUUGGACACUCGUAAACAGGUGGUGCAUGUUGUCGUCAGCUCGUGUCGUGAG